UCCCUGGUGGUCCGGUGGUUAAGACUCUGUGCUCCCAACGCAGGGGGCCUGUGUUUGAUUCCUGGUCAGGGAA
Molecule: transfer RNA, 73 nt
Filed under: Bos taurus (domestic cattle)
Lineage: Eukaryota; Metazoa; Chordata; Mammalia; Artiodactyla; Bovidae
Also listed under: 1 other name
Rfam family: tRNA
About the family: Transfer RNA (tRNA) molecules are approximately 80 nucleotides in length. Their secondary structure includes four short double-helical elements and three loops (D, anti-codon, and T loops).
Source: Rfam by way of RNAcentral